RNAcentral lists this ribosomal RNA (252 nucleotides) under uncultured prokaryote. Its description in RNAcentral is "partial 16S rRNA". It matches the Rfam family "Archaeal small subunit ribosomal RNA", at positions 475 to 726 of the family's 1478-position model. The record is from RNAcentral.
ACCGGCGGCUCGAGUGGUGGCCACUAUUACUGGGCUUAAAGCGUUCGUAGCUGGCUUGUUAAGUCUCUGGGGAAAUCUUCCGGCUCAACCGGAAGGCGUCUCAGGGAUACUGGCAGGCUAGGGACCGGAAGAGGUGAGAGGUACUCCAGGGGUAGGAGUCAAAACGUGUACUCCGAGGGGGACCACCGAUGGCGAAGGCAUCUCACCAGGACGGCUCCGACAGUGAGGAACGAAAGUUAGGGGAGCAAACCG